Molecule: ribosomal RNA, 419 nt
Filed under: uncultured Wolbachia sp.
Lineage: Bacteria; Pseudomonadati; Pseudomonadota; Alphaproteobacteria; Rickettsiales; Anaplasmataceae
Description: bacterial SSU rRNA
Rfam family: Bacterial small subunit ribosomal RNA
Source: RNAcentral
GAGUUUGAUCCUGGCUCANAACGAACGCUGGCGGCAGGCUUAACACAUGCAAGUCGAGCGCGUAGCAAUACGAGCGGCAGACGGGUGAGUAACGCGUGGGAAUCUACCCGGAACUACGGAAUAACAUGAAGAAAUUUAUGCUAAUACCGUAUACGCCCUUUUGGGGAAAGAUUUAUUGGUUUCGGAUGAGCCCGCGUUGGAUUAGCUUGUUGGUAGGGUAAUGGCCUACCAAGGCGACGAUCCAUAGCUGGUCUGAGAGGAUGAUCAGCCACACUGGGACUGAGACACGGCCCAGACUCCUACGGGAGGCAGCAGUGGGGAAUAUUGGACAAUGGGCGCAAGCCUGAUCCAGCCAUGCCGCGUGAGUGAUGAAGGCCUUAGGGUUGUAAAGCUCUUUCACCGGUGAAGAUAAUGACNGU